GACGAACGCUGGCGGCGUGCUUAACACAUGCAAGUCGAGCGAUGAAGCACCUUCGGGUGUGAAUUAGCGGCGAACGGGUGAGGAACACGUGAAGAAUCUGCCUUCAACUCUGGGAUAACUCCGGGAAACCGGGGCUAAUACCGGAUAUGAGCCUUGAUCGCAUGAUCGGGGCUGGAAAGUUUGUCGGUUGAAGAUGGCUUCGCGGCCUAUCAGCUUGUUGGUGAGGUAAUGGCUCACCAAGGCGACGACGGGUAGCCGGCCUGAGAGGGCGACCGGCCACACUGGGACUGAGACACGGCCCGGACUCCUACGGGAGGCAGCAAUGGGGAAUAUUGGGCAAUGGAGGAAACUCUGACCCAGCGACGCCGCGUGAGGGAUGAAGGCCUUCGGGUUGUAAACCUCUUUCAGUAGGGAAGAAGCGAAAGUGACGGUACCUACAGAAGAAGCACCGGCUAACUAUGUGCCAGCCGCCGCAGUAA
RNAcentral lists this ribosomal RNA (479 nucleotides) under uncultured bacterium. Its description in RNAcentral is "partial 16S ribosomal RNA". It matches the Rfam family "Bacterial small subunit ribosomal RNA", at positions 28 to 523 of the family's 1533-position model. The record is from RNAcentral.